GACUUGACAUGCUUGCCAAUAGCUGGUAGGUAAAGGAAAGUGUGGACUGGCACUUGUUAAUUAAUUCCUCCUUUGCUCUCCUUUUUUUUUCUUUUUUUAAGUUACAAUUUUCCUUUUUAAGAGCAGGAAGACGGGUUUCAACCCCCAGGUUUUGUUGUUGGGUUUUUUGUUGUUGUUGUUGUUGUUAUUUUUUAUUAUUAUUAUUUUUAAAGAAGAAUAAAAGCUACAGCCACCCAAACUUCAACAAGACUACACAAGUAAGCACCCAACAGCAACCCGGCUGCGCGGAUUCAUUAAACGAGGAUCCCUCGCAAGAGUUUUACUGCACUCCAUUUAUCAAUUGGACUUGACAACAAAAGAAAGAACGGGGGGAAAACCUGGGGCAGAUUCAAGUCACUUCCACUCUGUAUGAAGGAAGGGGGAGUUCCUUACGGGCACGGUGCGGGUUGUCAGUCCCGCUGCAGCGGCGGCAGCUUUUGUGCGAUGCUUCUCCCUCUGCCCCCCGAUCCUUUCACUGUCACGGCCUCGGAAGAACACAGCGGGCACGGCGACACGGAAGCCCGGCUCUGCCCUGCACCGACACGUUCCGGCGACACGUUCCGCGCUUCCAGAGAACACACAGAAAUUAAAAAAGUUUGUUAAAAUCGUCUUUCUAGGAGGCGAGGGCACUUCCGCGUAUCGCCCCGUUCUAUCCAACGUGCCAAAGAGCGCGGCGGUUCAAUAAAAGCCACCCGAGAUACCGACCCGGCUGCGGGACCGACGGAGCACCGCUCUGGGGGCGGGGAGGGCGUCGGAGAAAGGCGGCCCGUGGGGAGAGGGCCGCUGGGGGCCGCCCGGCGCGGGGUCCGGGGGUGGCGGUGCGGGGAAGGAGAAGGUGAAGGCGAAGGACGGGGUUCGGCGGGGCCGAGAGCGAGCGGGGAAAGUCCUUCCCCACGCCCACCCCUCCCCGAGCGGCGCCUGUUCUGGUCGGAGUCCAGGUCAGGAAUUGGCCGCGACCCCUGAAGCACUUGCCUUGUUCUUCACUUGUCAAACGUGUUUUAUCUCUAAGUGACCUUUUUGUUAAUGUUGUAGAUUGUGUGGGCCACCAUGUCAGAUCCGGAAACAAAAGUAAAAGAUUGAUUAACA
Gallus gallus (chicken) is the source of this 1125-nucleotide long non-coding RNA. RefSeq lists it as uncharacterized. The transcript is spliced from 2 exons. The record is from RefSeq and is a predicted model, not a curated record. NCBI's taxonomy places the organism in Eukaryota, Metazoa, Chordata, Aves, Galliformes, Phasianidae.